Molecule: ribosomal RNA, 874 nt
Filed under: uncultured Burkholderia sp.
Lineage: Bacteria; Pseudomonadati; Pseudomonadota; Betaproteobacteria; Burkholderiales; Burkholderiaceae
Description: bacterial SSU rRNA
Rfam family: Bacterial small subunit ribosomal RNA
Source: RNAcentral
CAUGCAGUCGAGCGGCAGCACGGGGGCAACCCUGGUGGCGAGUGGCGAACGGGUGAGUAAUACAUCGGAACGUGUCCUGUAGUGGGGGAUAGCCCGGCGAAGGCCGGAUUAAUACCGCAUACGCUCUACGGAGGAAAGGGGGGGAUCUUAGGACCUCCCGCUACAGGGGCGGCCGAUGGCAGAUUAGCUAGUUGGUGGGGUAAAGGCCUACCAAGGCGACGAUCUGUAGCUGGUCUGAGAGGACGACCAACCACACUGGGACUGAGACACGGCCCAGACUCCUACGGGAGGCAGCAGUGGGGAAUUUUGGACAAUGGGGGCAACCCUGAUCCAGCAAUGCCGCGUGUGUGAAGAAGGCCUUCGGGUUGUAAAGCACUUUUGUCCGGAAAGAAAACGCCGUGGUUAAUACCCGUGGCGGAUGACGGUACCGGAAGAAUAAGCACCGGCUAACUACGUGCCAGCAGCCGCGGUAAUACGUAGGGUGCAAGCGUUAAUCGGAAUUACUGGGCGUAAAGCGUGCGCAGGCGGUCCGCUAAUACAGAUGUGAAAUCCCCGGGCUUAACCUGGGAACUGCAUUUGUGACUGGCGGGCUAGAGUAUGGCAGAGGGGGGUAGAAUUACACGUGUAGCAGUGAAAUGCAUACAGAUGUGGAGGAAUACCGAUGGCGAAGGCAGCCCCCUGGGCCAAUACUGACGCUCAUGCACGAAAGCGUGGGGAGCAAACAGGAUUAGAUACCCUGGUAGUCCACGCCCUAACGAUGUCAACUAGUUGUCGGGUCUUCAUUGACUUGGUAACGUACUAACGCGUGAAGUUGACCGCCUGGCGAGUACAGUCGCAAGAUUAAAACUCAAAGGAAUUGACGGGGACCCGCACA